Molecule: ribosomal RNA, 465 nt
Filed under: Lacticaseibacillus rhamnosus
Lineage: Bacteria; Bacillati; Bacillota; Bacilli; Lactobacillales; Lactobacillaceae
Description: bacterial SSU rRNA
Rfam family: Bacterial small subunit ribosomal RNA
Source: RNAcentral
GGACGCAAGUCUGAUGGAGCAACGCCGCGUGAGUGAAGAAGGCUUUCGGGUCGUAAAACUCUGUUGUUGGAGAAGAAUGGUCGGCAGAGUAACUGUUGUCGGCGUGACGGUAUCCAACCAGAAAGCCACGGCUAACUACGUGCCAGCAGCCGCGGUAAUACGUACGUGGCAAGCGUUAUCCGGAUUUAUUGGGCGUAAAGCGAGCGCACGGCGGUUUUUUAAGUCUGAUGUGAAAGCCCUCGGCUUAACCGAGGAAGUGCAUCGGAAACUGGGAAACUUGAGUGCAGAAGAGGACAGUGGAACUCCAUGUGUAGCGGUGAAAUGCGUAGAUAUAUGGAAGAACACCAGUGGCGAAGGCGGCUGUCUGGUCUGUAACUGACGCUGAGGCUCGAAAGCAUGGGUAGCGAACAGGAUUAGAUACCCUGGUACGUCCAUGCCGUAAACGAUGAAUGCUAGGUGUUGGAG